Molecule: ribosomal RNA, 253 nt
Filed under: uncultured bacterium
Lineage: Bacteria
Description: partial 16S ribosomal RNA
Rfam family: Bacterial small subunit ribosomal RNA
Source: RNAcentral
UACGGGGGGGGCAAGCGUUGUCCGGAUUUACUGGGCGUAAAGCGCGUGUAGGCGGCGAUUUAAGUCUUGGGUGAAAGGCGGGGGCUUAACCCCCGAGCGGCCCCAGAAACUGGAUCGCUUGAGUGUCGGAGAGGGGAGUGGAAUUCUCGGUGUAGCGGUGAAAUGCGUAGAGAUCGAGAGGAACACCCGUGGCGAAGGCGGCUCCCUGGCCGAACACUGACGCUGAGACGCGAAAGCGCGGGGAGCGAACGGG